Molecule: ribosomal RNA, 668 nt
Filed under: Rhodococcus sp. (in: high G+C Gram-positive bacteria)
Lineage: Bacteria; Bacillati; Actinomycetota; Actinomycetes; Mycobacteriales; Nocardiaceae
Description: bacterial SSU rRNA
Rfam family: Bacterial small subunit ribosomal RNA
Source: RNAcentral
ACUUCAGGUUGCAUGACUUGGGGUGGAAAGAUUUAUCGGUGCAGGAUGGGCCCGCGGCCUAUCAGCUUGUUGGUGGGGUAAUGGCCUACCAAGGCGACGACGGGUAGCCGACCUGAGAGGGUGACCGGCCACACUGGGACUGAGACACGGCCCAGACUCCUACGGGAGGCAGCAGUGGGGAAUAUUGCACAAUGGGCGAAAGCCUGAUGCAGCGACGCCGCGUGAGGGAUGACGGCCUUCGGGUUGUAAACCUCUUUCAGCAGGGACGAAGCGCAAGUGACGGUACCUGCAGAAGAAGCACCGGCUAACUACGUGCCAGCAGCCGCGGUAAUACGUAGGGUGCAAGCGUUGUCCGGAAUUACUGGGCGUAAAGAGUUCGUAGGCGGUUUGUCGCGUCGUUUGUGAAAACCAGCAGCUCAACUGCUGGCUUGCAGGCGAUACGGGCAGACUUGAGUACUGCAGGGGAGACUGGAAUUCCUGGUGUAGCGGUGAAAUGCGCAGAUAUCAGGAGGAACACCGGUGGCGAAGGCGGGUCUCUGGGCAGUAACUGACGCUGAGGAACGAAAGCGUGGGUAGCGAACAGGAUUAGAUACCCUGGUAGUCCACGCCGUAAACGGUGGGCGCUAGGUGUGGGUUCCUUCCACGGAAUCCGUGCCGUAGCUAACGCA